This 464-nucleotide long non-coding RNA is filed under the name Rattus norvegicus (Norway rat). RNAcentral's name for it is "long non-coding RNA NONRATT021932". The record is from RNAcentral. Lineage: Eukaryota; Metazoa; Chordata; Mammalia; Rodentia; Muridae.
GACUUUCUAACCCCAAGUGAUAGAUAGGUCUUCUAGGUUUAAACAAAGAAUAGAACAGAACUUUCUAGUUGACAGGCUGACCAUAGAAGUAUCAGUGAGAACACGUUUAAGACUGUGCUGAUUACCAGGGUGGACCGUUAACACACACGAGGGGUGUGUGUGAUCUGUAUGUGGAAGGGCACUCGUGGCCUGAUGGAGGGCAGAGACUCUCUGUCCAGGUUAAUCUCACCUUGCUGGCCUGUCUUCAAGUGGGCUUGCUGGCUGAGGGACAGCAUGCUGAGCACGGUGGGGGUGCGACAAGGUGUAGCCCUUGGUUUCCCAGCCUUCCCAGCCUUCUGCACCGGCAGGGUAAAUAUCUUCCUUCACUAGCGGAUGGACUAGCCUGGGUGACGUGGUACCCACACUUCCCCCUGGAGUGCCUCUGUCUAUAUUUUGACAGGGUCCAAGUAUUUAAGGCAAAAAAA